GCCAAAUAAGAAAGGGAUCAUAUUCCACUAGAUUUUUUGCAUUAAAAUAUCUCCCCCUUUCUUAAACUACAUUUCCUACACAUUUUCUCAACUUUCAAUAUUCCUAGCAGGUUAUUCAAUUAUUCCCAGUCGGAUGAACUAUGGAUAUGUCCGAUUAUAAAACAUCAGCACAUGAGAAUGGGUAAAUUACCGAAAACAACAG
RNAcentral lists this unclassified non-coding RNA (202 nucleotides) under Hevea brasiliensis (rubber tree). The record is from RNAcentral. Lineage: Eukaryota; Viridiplantae; Streptophyta; Magnoliopsida; Malpighiales; Euphorbiaceae.